CCAACGGCCCUCUUUAGGGCCACAAAUCUGCUUAUACGAACCUCA
Molecule: non-coding RNA, 45 nt
Organism: Heligmosomoides polygyrus
Lineage: Eukaryota; Metazoa; Nematoda; Chromadorea; Rhabditida; Heligmosomidae
Source: Rfam